This 634-nucleotide ribosomal RNA is filed under the name Salmonella enterica. RNAcentral describes it as "partial 23S ribosomal RNA". It matches the Rfam family "Bacterial large subunit ribosomal RNA", at positions 1 to 668 of the family's 2925-position model. Lineage: Bacteria; Pseudomonadati; Pseudomonadota; Gammaproteobacteria; Enterobacterales; Enterobacteriaceae. The record is from RNAcentral.
GGGUUGUGAGGUUAAGCGACUAAGCGUACACGGUGGAUGCCCUGGCAGUCAGAGGCGAUGAAGGACGUGCUAAUCUGCGAUAAGCGCCGGUAAGGUGAUAUGAACCGUUAUAACCGGCGAUUUCCGAAUGGGGAAACCCAGUGUGACUCGUCACACUAUCAUUAACUGAAUCCAUAGGUUAAUGAGGCGAACCGGGGGAACUGAAACAUCUAAGUACCCCGAGGAAAAGAAAUCAACCGAGAUUCCCCCAGUAGCGGCGAGCGAACGGGGAGGAGCCCAGAGCCUGAAUCAGCAUGUGUGUUAGUGGAAGCGUCUGGAAAGGCGCGCGAUACAGGGUGACAGCCCCGUACACAAAAGCGCAUGUGCUGUGAGCUCGAUGAGUAGGGCGGGACACGUGGUAUCCUGUCUGAAUAUGGGGGGACCAUCCUCCAAGGCUAAAUACUCCUGACUGACCGAUAGUGAACCAGUACCGUGAGGGAAAGGCGAAAAGAACCCCGGCGAGGGGAGUGAAAAAGAACCUGAAACCGUGUACGUACAAGCAGUGGGAGCACCCUUUGGGGUGUGACUGCGUACCUUUUGUAUAAUGGGUCAGCGACUUAUAUUCUGUAGCAAGGUUAACCGUAUAGGGGAGCCG